CCUACGGGUGGCAGCAGUGAGGAAUAUUGGUCAAUGGGCGGGAGCCUGAACCAGCCAAGUCGCGUGAGGGAAGACGGUCCUAUGGAUUGUAAACCUCUUUAGGCGGGGAGCAAUGCCGGGCACGCGUGCCCGGCGGGAGAGUACCCGCAGACUAAGCAUCGGCUAACUCCGUGCCAGCAGCCGCGGUAAUACGGAGGAUGCGAGCGUUAUCCGGCUUUAUGGGGGUUAAAGGGUGCGUAGGCGGAUUUUUAAGUCGGCGGUAAAAUGUCCGGGCUCAACCCGGGCCGGCCGUUGAAACUGGGGAUCUUGAGUGGGCGAGAAGUAGGCGGAAUGCGUGGUGUAGCGGUGAAAUGCAUAGAUAUCACGCAGAACUCCGAUUGCGAUGGCAGCAUACCGGAGCCCGACUGACGCUGAGGCACGAAAGCGUGGGGAUCGAACAGGAUUAGAUACCCGAGUAGUC
RNAcentral lists this ribosomal RNA (460 nucleotides) under uncultured bacterium. Its description in RNAcentral is "partial 16S ribosomal RNA". It matches the Rfam family "Bacterial small subunit ribosomal RNA", at positions 338 to 795 of the family's 1533-position model. The record is from RNAcentral.